RNAcentral lists this ribosomal RNA (266 nucleotides) under Stenotrophomonas maltophilia. RNAcentral's name for it is "partial 16S ribosomal RNA". It matches the Rfam family "Bacterial small subunit ribosomal RNA", at positions 1 to 263 of the family's 1533-position model. Lineage: Bacteria; Pseudomonadati; Pseudomonadota; Gammaproteobacteria; Lysobacterales; Lysobacteraceae. The record is from RNAcentral.
UAAGUGAAGAGUUUGAUCCUGGCUCAGAGUGAACGCUGGCGGUAGGCCUAACACAUGCAAGUCGAACGGCAGCACAGGAGAGCUUGCUCUCUGGGUGGCGAGUGGCGGACGGGUGAGGAAUACAUCGGAAUCUACUUUUUCGUGGGGGAUAACGUAGGGAAACUUACGCUAAUACCGCAUACGACCUACGGGUGAAAGCAGGGGAUCUUCGGACCUUGCGCGAUUGAAUGAGCCGAUGUCGGAUUAGCUAGUUGGCGGGGUAAAGG